Molecule: transfer RNA, 74 nt
Filed under: Gelidium vagum
Lineage: Eukaryota; Rhodophyta; Florideophyceae; Gelidiales; Gelidiaceae
Description: tRNA-Lys
Rfam family: tRNA
About the family: Transfer RNA (tRNA) molecules are approximately 80 nucleotides in length. Their secondary structure includes four short double-helical elements and three loops (D, anti-codon, and T loops).
Source: RNAcentral
GGGUGUAUGGCUAAGUGGUUAACAGCAAUAGACUUUUAAUUUAUAGAUCUUAGGUUCGAAUCCUAAUACACUCA